AACGAACGCUGGCGGCAUGCCUAACACAUGCAAGUCGAACGAGACCUUCGGGUCUAGUGGCGCACGGGUGCGUAACGCGUGGGAACCUGCCCUUAGGUUCGGAAUAACUCCCCGAAAGGGGUGCUAAUACCGGAUAAUGUCUUCGGACCAAAGAUUUAUCGCCUUUGGAUGGGCCCGCGUUGGAUUAGCUAGUUGGUAGGGUAAAAGCCUACCAAGGCGACGAUCCAUAGCUGGUCUGAGAGGAUGAUCAGCCACACUGGGACUGAGACACGGCCCAGACUCCUACGGGAGGCAGCAGUGGGGAAGAUUGGACAAUGGGCGAAAGCCUGAUCCAGCAAUGCCGCGUGAGUGAUGAAGGCCUUAGGGUUGUAAAGCUCUUUUACCCGGGAUGAUAAGGACAGUACCGGGAGAAUAAGCUCCGGCUAACUCCGU
RNAcentral lists this ribosomal RNA (432 nucleotides) under uncultured bacterium. RNAcentral describes it as "partial 16S ribosomal RNA". It matches the Rfam family "Bacterial small subunit ribosomal RNA", at positions 29 to 506 of the family's 1533-position model. The record is from RNAcentral.